UGAUGUCCGAGGGGUUUCCGGUAUGUAGAGGUUGCAGACAGGGGUGUCCCCUAUCACCAUUAUUGUUUACAUUAUUUAUUGAACAUUUGGCAGAAUCUAUCAGGACUAACCCUGAUGUAACCGGGAUCAUAGUCAAUGGAAAAAGCAUGUCAUCUCUUUGGUUGCAGAUGAUGUCCUCAUGUAUUUGGAGAACCUACAGACGUCUCCGGGAAAGAGGGAGGAGCUUCAAGAGCUCAAGCUCCGGCAAUAAUGCAACCAAGAAAAAGGCGGAGCAGAAAAAAAAAACAGGUGGUGGUCCUGCACCCCCACAUUAUACCCCAGCAGAAGAGUUGGCCCUUGGGUUAAAUGUGAGCCGACCCAUUGUGGAGGGCAUCCCUGGGGGCACCUCUUCCUUAGACCAAAAUGCAGGGACCAGUAAGAGCAACACCUUCAUUACUGUUUUACAUAAUACACCAACACUUUUACCUGUUCCCAACAAAGUGGUGGCUGAAAUAUGUGCAGACAGUAAAGAAACCCUCUCAGAUGACUGUCCUUUGGAGGAAGUACUUGCAAAAGAUGACCAUCAAUGGCUUCUAUUGACAUAAUCAUUGAAAUAACACUCAAGAAACUCUGCCACUAGGGUGGUCCAAGUGCACUGGCUGGAGAUCAUCAUCAGGCUGCAACUCCACCACAGGGGUCCUCUCCUUUCUGAUGGUGGCAAUAUUGUGGAGUACUGCACAUGCAACAAUAAUGUCACAGGCCCUGUCAGGUGCAACCCUUCAGACACUGAAAUCUUUCCUUUAGUUGCCCAAAGGUCAUUUCACAAUGCGUGCCCUUGUCCUGGUUAGAGCUGCAUUGAAACGGGUUUGUGGUCCGGGGUUUGGGUCAGGGAAUGGCAUCAUAAAAUACUACCUGCAGGCAUAACCCCUGUCACCAAGCAGGAUCCCGUCGUAAGCACC
Cyprinus carpio carpio is the source of this 938-nucleotide long non-coding RNA. NCBI's taxonomy places the organism in Eukaryota, Metazoa, Chordata, Actinopteri, Cypriniformes, Cyprinidae. The record is from Ensembl.